RNAcentral lists this unclassified non-coding RNA (339 nucleotides) under Hevea brasiliensis (rubber tree). Lineage: Eukaryota; Viridiplantae; Streptophyta; Magnoliopsida; Malpighiales; Euphorbiaceae. The record is from RNAcentral.
GAAUUUUACUGUGUAAAAUUUGAAAGUUUAUGAGGUUUUAUAUUACAUUUUAAAGUUAAGGACUGUAGUUUUAUAAUUAUAUAAGUUCAGGGACAGUUGUUGAAAUUUAUCUCUCGAAUCUUAUAUAUGGGUCAGUUUUGGCUCCCGUCCUCGACCUUGAACUGGAAUUGGUGUUUUGGCUUGGCAAUGUGAACACGGGGAGGCGCCAUGUGAACCGAAUCGCUAAAAGAUUGAAAUUGCUGAUUCUGAUUUGGAAUUGACUUGGAUCGGACUGGUGGCUAGGUCUACUUGGAGGCUAAUAUAUUGAUGGUUCUGUUCUUUUUUGUCAAUGUAACAAGG